This 351-nucleotide ribosomal RNA is filed under the name uncultured bacterium. Its description in RNAcentral is "bacterial SSU rRNA". It matches the Rfam family "Bacterial small subunit ribosomal RNA", at positions 158 to 507 of the family's 1533-position model. The record is from RNAcentral.
CGGCGCUAAUACCUCAUAAUGCAGCGGAUCCGCAUGGAUAUGUUGUUAAGGUUUAACCGCCUUGGGAUAGGCUUGCGUCUGAUUAGCUAGUUGGUGUGGUAACGGCACACCAAGGCUACGAUCAGUAACUGGUCUGAGAGGAUGAUCAGUCACACUGGAACUGAGGACACGGUCCAGACUCCUACGGGAGGCAGCAGUGAGGAAUAUUGGGCAAUGCUCGAAAGAGUGACCCAGCAACGCCGCGUGGAGGAUGAAGGUAUUCUAUAUCGUAAACUCCUGUGAGAGCAGACGAAAGACAGAUUAUUAAUCUGGAUGACUGUAUGCUCAGAGGAAGCCCCGGCUAACUACGUG